RNAcentral lists this ribosomal RNA (497 nucleotides) under uncultured bacterium. Its description in RNAcentral is "partial 16S ribosomal RNA". It matches the Rfam family "Bacterial small subunit ribosomal RNA", at positions 28 to 507 of the family's 1533-position model. The record is from RNAcentral.
GAUGAACGCUGGCGGCGUGCCUAAUACAUGCAAGUCGAGCGAACGGACGAGAAGCUUGCUUCUCUGAUGUUAGCGGCGGACGGGUGAGUAACACGUGGAUAACCUACCUAUAAGACUGGGAUAACUUCGGGAAACCGGAGCUAAUACCGGAUAAUAUUUUUAACCGCAUGGUUCAAAAGUGAAAGAAGGUCUUGCUGUCACUUAUAGAUGGAUCCGCGCUGCAUUAGCUAGUUGGUAAGGUAACGGCUUACCAAGGCAACGAUGCAUAGCCGACCUGAGAGGGUGAUCGGCCACACUGGAACUGAGACACGGUCCAGACUCCUACGGGAGGCAGCAGUAGGGAAUCUUCCGCAAUGGGCGAAAGCCUGACGGAGCAACGCCGCGUGAGUGAUGAAGGUCUUCGGAUCGUAAAACUCUGUUAUUAGGGAAGAACAUAUGUGUAAGUAACUGUGCACAUCUUGACGGUACCUAAUCAGAAAGCCACGGCUAACUACGUG